This is a non-coding RNA of Malus domestica (apple), 507 nucleotides long. The record is from RefSeq and is a predicted model, not a curated record. NCBI's taxonomy places the organism in Eukaryota, Viridiplantae, Streptophyta, Magnoliopsida, Rosales, Rosaceae.
AUUUUGAUAAGUUGAGGGACCAAUGGUAAUGAAUUUUUAAUUGAGGGACCAUUACUCCAAUUUGAUUAAAGUUGAGGUACCAUUUGUACAAUUUACUCUUAUAUAAAUUGAGUCUAGAGCGGUCGGUAAAAAGGUGAAAGCACGAGCUCCACAAGUACUACGAGGCUUGUACGACACUUGAGACAGCGCGUGCAGACCGUCCUAAGGUGUUUCUGGAGAAAGCGGGCGAAUGGCUAUGGCUUCGUACUAAUAUUUAAUUUUGACUUUUAUUUAAUAUUUAGAUUUUUUUUUCUUAAGUUAAACUAAUAUUUUUUAAUGGACAAAAAAAAUCGGCCACAAAUAGAGGAAAUCAAGACAAAAAGUCGUACGAGUACUAGAAAAAAUCGGCGACAAAUAAAGGAAAUCAGGACAAAAACCCACGCCAACUAUGGCAACGAGGUCGCAAACGAGAUUUUUGCUUAUUGUGGAGCCAAAAAUAUUCACUAGGCGACACGUGGACUUUGGACA